AACGCACAUUGCGCCCGCCAGUAUUCUGGCGGGCAUGCCUGUCUGAGCGUCAUUUCAACCCUCAUGCCCCUAGGGCGUGGUGUUGGGGAUCGGCCAAAGCCCGCGAGGGACGGCCGGCCCCUAAAUCUAGUGGCGGACCCGUCGUGGCCUCCUCUGCGAAGUAGUGAUAUUCCGCAUCGGAGAGCGACGAGCCCCUGCCGUUAAACCCCCAACUUUCCAAGGUUGACCUCAGAUCAGGUAGGAAUACCCGCUGAACUUAA
This 260-nucleotide unclassified non-coding RNA is filed under the name Clonostachys sp. Its description in RNAcentral is "partial contains 5.8S ribosomal RNA, internal transcribed spacer 2, and large subunit ribosomal RNA". The stretch from base 1 to 52 matches the Rfam family "5.8S ribosomal RNA", at positions 103 to 154 of the family's 154-position model. The record is from RNAcentral. Lineage: Eukaryota; Fungi; Ascomycota; Sordariomycetes; Hypocreales; Bionectriaceae. RNAcentral also lists the same sequence under 4 other names.